This 482-nucleotide ribosomal RNA is filed under the name uncultured bacterium. RNAcentral's name for it is "SSU rRNA". It matches the Rfam family "Bacterial small subunit ribosomal RNA", at positions 26 to 518 of the family's 1533-position model. The record is from RNAcentral.
AGGACGAACGCUGGCGGCGUGCCUAACACAUGCAAGUCGAACGAGGUCCAACCGGUAGCAAUACCGGUGAAGACCAAGUGGCGAACGGGUGAGUAGCGCGUGAGCAACCUGCCCCGAAGACCGGGACAACACCGGGAAACCGGUGCUAAUACCGGAUAUCCCCACCAAGUCGCAUGGCUCGGUGAGGAAAUGGAUUCCGCUUCGGGAGGGGCUCGCGGCCUAUCAGCUUGUUGGUGAGGUAACGGCUCACCAAGGCUUCGACGGGUAGCUGGUCUGAGAGGACGAUCAGCCACACUGGGACUGAGACACGGCCCAGACUCCUACGGGAGGCAGCAGUGGGGAAUCUUGCACAAUGGGCGAAAGCCUGAUGCAGCAACGCCGCGUGAGGGACGAAGGCUUUCUGAGUUGUAAACCUCUUUCAGCAGGGACGAUUGUGACGGUACCUGCAGAAGAAGCCCCGGCAACUACGUGCCAGCAGCCGC